CGCCUGGGGAGUACGGCCGCAAGGUUAAAACUCAAAUGAAUUGACGGGGGCCCGCACAAGCGGUGGAGCAUGUGGUUUAAUUCGACGCAACACGAAGAACCUUACCUGGCCUUGACAUGCAGAGAACUUUCCAGAGAUGGAUUGGUGCCUUCGGGAACUCUGACACAGGUGCUGCGUGGCCGUCGUCAGCUCGUGUCGUGAGAUGUUGGGUUAAGUCCCGUAACGAGCGCAACCCCUAUCCCUAGUUGCUAGCAGUUCGGCUGAGAACUCUAGGGAGACUGCCGGUGACAAACCGGAGGAAGGUGGGGAUGACGUCAGGUCAUCAUGGCCCUUACGGCCAGGGCUACACACGUGCUACAAUGGUGCGCACAGAGGGCUGCAAACCCGCGAGGGGGAGCCAAUCUCACAAAACGCAUCGUAGUCCGGAUCGCAGUCUGCAACUCGACUGCGUGAAGUCGGAAUCGCUAGUAAUCGUGAAUCAGAAUGUCGCGGUGAAUACGUUCCCGGGCCUUGUACACACCGCCCGUCACACCAUGGGAGUGGAUUGCACCAGAAGUGGUUAGUCUAACCUUCGGGAGGACGAUCACCACGGUGUGGUUCAUGACUGGGGUGAAGUCGUAACAAGGUAACCGUA
RNAcentral lists this ribosomal RNA (634 nucleotides) under uncultured Marinobacter sp. RNAcentral describes it as "bacterial SSU rRNA". It matches the Rfam family "Bacterial small subunit ribosomal RNA", at positions 870 to 1504 of the family's 1533-position model. The record is from RNAcentral. Lineage: Bacteria; Pseudomonadati; Pseudomonadota; Gammaproteobacteria; Pseudomonadales; Marinobacteraceae.